AGCUCUAGGCCAUAUAAACCUGAAGCAUAUAAAUCUGGUGCUUGUUUUGCCCACCAUGAGGAGAAAUCUGGCCUGAAUAUGAAGCCAAGGCAGAGGAAGGUAGAGCCUAGACAUGAAGAGAAAGAAGAAGUUACAAGAAACAAACAAAGGAGGAGAAUGAAGAUGCAGAGACCAAGAGAAGAAUUCACAAGUAACACCGUAUAUCUAAAAGACAAGGAAAAAGUAAAAAGAUUGAAAGGAGGAUGAAGACAAGCCAAUGUAUUGGGAAAAUUGCACUGAAAUGACUGCAUCAAUCCUGAGGGGUUAACGAGGAACUUCU
Long non-coding RNA from Camelus dromedarius (Arabian camel), 319 nucleotides. RefSeq lists it as uncharacterized. Lineage: Eukaryota; Metazoa; Chordata; Mammalia; Artiodactyla; Camelidae. The transcript is spliced from 4 exons. The record is from RefSeq and is a predicted model, not a curated record.